AAUAGAUACCCCGGUAGUCCACGCCGUAAACGAUGAGUGCUAAGUGUUGGGGGGUUUCCGCCCCUUAGUGCUGCAGCUAACGCAUUAAGCACUCCGCCUGGGGAAUACGGUCGCAAGACUGAAACUCAAAGGAAUUGACGGGGGCCCGCACAAGCGGUGGAGCAUGUGGUUUAAUUCGAAGCAACGCGAAGAACCUUACCAGGUCUUGACAUCCCGCUGACCGUCCUAGAGAUAGGAUUUUCCCUUCGGGGACAGCGGUGACAGGUGGUGCAUGGUUGUCGUCAGCUCGUGUCGUGAGAUGUUGGGUUAAGUCCCGCAACGAGCGCAACCCUUGAUCUUAGUUGCCAGCAUUCAGUUGGGCACUCUAAGGUGACUGCCGGUGAUAAACCGGAGGAAGGUGGGGAUGACGUCAAAUCAUCAUGCCCCUUAUGACCUGGGCUACACACGUGCUACAAUGGACGGUACAGAGGGUCGCAACCCCGCGAGGGUGAGCUAAUCCCAUAAAACCGUUCUCAGUUCGGAUUGUAGGCUGCAACUCGCCUA
RNAcentral lists this ribosomal RNA (543 nucleotides) under uncultured bacterium. RNAcentral describes it as "bacterial SSU rRNA". It matches the Rfam family "Bacterial small subunit ribosomal RNA", at positions 777 to 1318 of the family's 1533-position model. The record is from RNAcentral.